RNAcentral lists this ribosomal RNA (786 nucleotides) under uncultured bacterium. Its description in RNAcentral is "bacterial SSU rRNA". It matches the Rfam family "Bacterial small subunit ribosomal RNA", at positions 8 to 796 of the family's 1533-position model. The record is from RNAcentral.
AGAGUUUGAUCCUGGCUCAGGAUGAACGCUAGCGGGAGGCUUAAUACAUGCAAGUCGUACGGUAAGGGUAGCAAUACCCCUAGAGUGGCGUACGGGUGAGUAACACGUAUGUAAUCUGCCCCUAUCUGGGAGAUAGCCCUCCGAAAGGGGGAUUAAUACCCCAUAACAUUGCAGGGUGGCAUCACCACGCAAUUAAAGCUCCGGCGGAUAGGGAUGAGCAUGCGUUCGAUUAGCUAGUUGGCGAGGUAACGGCUCACCAAGGCUACGAUCGAUAGCUGGUCUGAGAGGAUGACCAGUCACACGGGCACUGAGACACGGGCCCGACUCCUACGGGAGGCAGCAGUAGGGAAUAUUGGGCAAUGGACGCAAGUCUGACCCAGCCAUCCCGCGUGAAGGAUGAAGGUCCUCUGGAUUGUAAACUUCUUUUAUCGGGGAAGAAAAAGCUGACUUGUCAGCAACUGACGGUACCCGAUGAAUAAGCACCGGCUAACUCCGUGCCAGCAGCCGCGGUAAUACGGAGGGUGCAAGCGUUAUCCGGAUUUACUGGGUUUAAAGGGUGCGUAGGCGGUUUUUUAAGUCAGUGGUGAAAGCUCGCAGCUUAACUGUGAAACUGCCAUUGAAACUGAAUAACUUGAAUAUCUUGGACGUGGGCGGAAUACAUCAUGUAGCGGUGAAAUGCUUAGAUAUGAUGUAGAACACCGAUUGCGAAGGCAGCUCACGACAAGACAAUUGACGCUGAGGCACGAAAGCGUGGGGAGCAAACAGGAUUAGAUACCCUAGUAGUCC